GGGUGCGUAGCUCAGUUGGUAGAGCAGCUGACUCUUAAUCAGCGGGUCCACAGUUCAAUCCUGUGCGCACCCACCA
RNAcentral lists this transfer RNA (76 nucleotides) under Mesorhizobium loti. RNAcentral describes it as "tRNA-Lys". It matches the Rfam family "tRNA". Rfam says of the family: Transfer RNA (tRNA) molecules are approximately 80 nucleotides in length. Their secondary structure includes four short double-helical elements and three loops (D, anti-codon, and T loops). Further hydrogen bonds mediate the characteristic L-shaped molecular structure. tRNAs have two regions of fundamental functional importance: the anti-codon, which is responsible for specific mRNA codon recognition, and the 3' end, to which the tRNAs corresponding amino acid is attached (by aminoacyl-tRNA synthetases). tRNAs cope with the degeneracy of the genetic code in two manners: having more than one tRNA (with a specific anti-codon) for a particular amino acid; and 'wobble' base-pairing, i.e. permitting non-standard base-pairing at the 3rd anti-codon position. RNAcentral also lists the same sequence under 697 other names. Lineage: Bacteria; Pseudomonadati; Pseudomonadota; Alphaproteobacteria; Hyphomicrobiales; Phyllobacteriaceae. The record is from RNAcentral.